RNAcentral lists this non-coding RNA (150 nucleotides) under Pteridomonas danica. Lineage: Eukaryota; Dictyochophyceae; Pedinellales. The record is from RNAcentral.
GGAGCAACGUUUACCAUUAAAAGUUCCACCUUCAGCACGUGGUGUAAAUCUUCUUCAUGAUCCUUUAUGGAAUAAAGGAACAGCAACAACAAUGAGUGAAAGAGAACGUCUUGGUUUAAGAGGUCUUUUACCACCUCGUAUUAUGAGUAU